RNAcentral lists this ribosomal RNA (567 nucleotides) under Bacillus sp. (in: firmicutes). Its description in RNAcentral is "bacterial SSU rRNA". It matches the Rfam family "Bacterial small subunit ribosomal RNA", at positions 154 to 706 of the family's 1533-position model. Lineage: Bacteria; Bacillati; Bacillota; Bacilli; Caryophanales; Bacillaceae. The record is from RNAcentral.
AAACCGGGGCUAAUACCGGAUGCUUGUUUGAACCGCAUGGUUCAAACAUAAAAGGUGGCUUCGGCUACCACUUACAGAUGGACCCGCGGCGCAUUAGCUAGUUGGUGAGGUAACGGCUCACCAAGGCAACGAUGCGUAGCCGACCUGAGAGGGUGAUCGGCCACACUGGGACUGAGACACGGCCCAGACUCCUACGGGAGGCAGCAGUAGGGAAUCUUCCGCAAUGGACGAAAGUCUGACGGAGCAACGCCGCGUGAGUGAUGAAGGUUUUCGGAUCGUAAAGCUCUGUUGUUAGGGAAGAAUAAGUACCGUUCGAAUAGGGCGGUACCUUGACGGUACCUAACCAGAAAGCCACGGCUAACUACGUGCCAGCAGCCGCGGUAAUACGUAGGUGGCAAGCGUUGUCCGGAAUUAUUGGGCGUAAAGGGCUCGCAGGCGGUUUCUUAAGUCUGAUGUGAAAGCCCCCGGCUCAACCGGGGAGGGUCAUUGGAAACUGGGGAACUUGAGUGCAGAAGAGGAGAGUGGAAUUCCACGUGUAGCGGUGAAAUGCGUAGAGAUGUGGAGGAA